AACGAACGCUGGCGGCAGGCUUAACACAUGCAAGUCGAGCGCCCCGCAAGGGGAGCGGCAGACGGGUGAGUAACGCGUGGGAAUCUACCCAUCUCUACGGAAUAACGCAUGGAAACGUGUGCUAAUACCGUAUACGUCCUUCGGGAGAAAGAUUUAUCGGAGAUGGAUGAGCCCGCGUUGGAUUAGCUAGUUGGUGGGGUAAAGGCCUACCAAGGCGACGAUCCAUAGCUGGUCGGAGAGGAGGAUCAGCCACACUGGGACUGAGACACGGCCCAGACUCCUACGGGAGGCAGCAGUGGGGAAUAUUGGACAAUGGGCGCAAGCCUGAACCAGCCAUGCCGCGUGAGUGAUGAAGGCCCUAGGGUUGUAAAGCUCUUUCACCGGUGAAGAUAAUGACGGUAACCGGAGAAGAAGCCCCGGCUAACUUCGUGCCAGCCGCCGCCGUAA
This 447-nucleotide ribosomal RNA is filed under the name uncultured bacterium. RNAcentral's name for it is "partial 16S ribosomal RNA". It matches the Rfam family "Bacterial small subunit ribosomal RNA", at positions 29 to 523 of the family's 1533-position model. The record is from RNAcentral.